UACGAGAGGCCCAAACGUUAUUCGGAAUUACUGGGCUUAAAGAGUUCGUAGGCGGCGCAGAAAGUAGGGUGUGAAAGCCCUCGGCUCAACCGAGGAAUUGCGCUCUAAACUACUGUGCUCGAGGAAUCUAGAGGUGAGCGGAACUGAUGGUGGAGCGGUGAAAUGCGUAGAUAUCGGGAGGAACACCAGUGGCGAAGGCGACUACCUGGCCUGUUCUUGACGCUGAGGCGCGAAAGCUAGGGGAGCAAACGGG
Molecule: ribosomal RNA, 253 nt
Filed under: uncultured bacterium
Lineage: Bacteria
Description: partial 16S ribosomal RNA
Rfam family: Bacterial small subunit ribosomal RNA
Source: RNAcentral